AAUUAGUGCAGUUUUGCACUAUUCAUGUUCAACGUUUGACCGUUCGUCUUAUUUGAAAAUUUUUUAUGAUUAGUAUUUUUAUUGCUAUUAGAUGAUAAAACAUGAAUAAUACUUUAUGUGUGAUUAUAUAUUUUUAAUUUUUUUCAUAAAUUUUUUAAAUAAGACGAACGGUCAAACGUUGAGCACGGAUAUCCACGGCUGCACUUAUU
MicroRNA precursor from Oryza sativa Indica Group (long-grained rice), 209 nucleotides. It matches the Rfam family "MIR812 microRNA precursor family". The record is from Rfam. NCBI's taxonomy places the organism in Eukaryota, Viridiplantae, Streptophyta, Magnoliopsida, Poales, Poaceae.